This 26-nucleotide non-coding RNA is filed under the name Drosophila melanogaster (fruit fly). Lineage: Eukaryota; Metazoa; Arthropoda; Insecta; Diptera; Drosophilidae. The record is from RNAcentral.
UCCGAGCUUUGAACGUGGGAACGAGG